This 50-nucleotide transfer RNA is filed under the name Oxyopes licenti. RNAcentral's name for it is "tRNA-Pro". The record is from RNAcentral. Lineage: Eukaryota; Metazoa; Arthropoda; Arachnida; Araneae; Oxyopidae.
UUCUAAAUAAUUUAAUUAAAAUAUCUACUUUGGAUGUAGAAAAUACUAAA